GUCCAGACAAGCCGGCGGAAGUGACGUCAUGACCCGGCAUGUUUCCUUGGAAACGGGGACGCUAUCGGCUACUUUCCUCUGAGGGAGGGAUCUGGGGUUUCCCGAGUAGCUUCCUACUCGCACCCGGAAACCGAGAUGCGCUUGGGACUCUCAGAGGCGAGCGUCGGGAUGUGCCCCGGACCAACCUCGCUAUGGCGCCGGGUCCCGCCAGACAUUGGCCUUCCGUUCCCGCCGCGAGGGAGUUGGGCUGUCAGCUGAGUAUUCAGGAGUUCAGGAGAGAGGAAGGGGACGCUCCGCCCGCCCGCUGUGCCUGCGCGCCCUGUGCCCGGGCAGCCCGACUUAUACCGGGAAGAACCGAGGUGGCCAGCGCCACCAGACCCCUGCCGGAAGCGCGGCGCUGUCUCCCACGCGUGUCCCCUCUAGACUCGUUCCCUUUCGCCUCGCUCGGCGAGGGGCACUGUGUAAAACUCAGUAAAGCUCUCCAGUUUGAAAAUUGAACGA
Molecule: long non-coding RNA, 501 nt
Filed under: Marmota monax (woodchuck)
Lineage: Eukaryota; Metazoa; Chordata; Mammalia; Rodentia; Sciuridae
Source: RNAcentral